Molecule: transfer RNA, 73 nt
Filed under: Bacteroidota bacterium
Lineage: Bacteria; Pseudomonadati; Bacteroidota
Description: tRNA-Thr
Rfam family: tRNA
About the family: Transfer RNA (tRNA) molecules are approximately 80 nucleotides in length.
Source: RNAcentral
GCCUUCUUAGCUCAGUCGGUAGAGUGGUUGUUUCGUAAACAACAGGUCGUGGGUUCAAGUCCCAUAGAAGGCU